GAAUUUGCUCAAUGGCGCGAGCCUGUGGUACCCCAUCCGGGUAUGAAGAAAAGCCUUUGGUUGUAAAAAACUCAGAGGGAGAAAGGGAGUAAAGUUAAUACCUUUGUCAUUGGCGGUUACCGCCGAAGAAACGCCGGGUAAAUCCGUUCUAGCAUCCGAAGUAAUUCGGAGGGGUCAAGCGUUAAUUGGGAUUUGUGGGGGGAAAACGCACGCAGGCGGUUUGUUAAGUCAGAAGUGAAAUCCCCGGGCUCAACCUGGGAAAUGCAUUUGAUACUGGCAAGCUUGAGUUUCGUAGAGGGGGGUAGAAUUCCAGGUUAGCGGUGAAAUGCGUAGAGAUCUGGAGGAAUACCGGUGGCGAAGGCGGCCCCCUGGACGAAGACUGACGCUCAGGUGCGAAAGCGUGGGGAGCAAACAGGAUUUGAUUCCCUGGUAGUCCACGCCU
Molecule: ribosomal RNA, 442 nt
Filed under: uncultured marine bacterium
Lineage: Bacteria
Description: bacterial SSU rRNA
Rfam family: Bacterial small subunit ribosomal RNA
Source: RNAcentral